GGAGUUGUGGCUCAGUGGUAGAGUACUUGCCCUACCAUGCAUGAGACACUGGGUUUAAUUCUCAGCACUCCA
Molecule: transfer RNA, 72 nt
Filed under: Ictidomys tridecemlineatus (thirteen-lined ground squirrel)
Lineage: Eukaryota; Metazoa; Chordata; Mammalia; Rodentia; Sciuridae
Description: Spermophilus tridecemlineatus (thirteen-lined ground squirrel) tRNA
Rfam family: tRNA
About the family: Transfer RNA (tRNA) molecules are approximately 80 nucleotides in length. Their secondary structure includes four short double-helical elements and three loops (D, anti-codon, and T loops).
Source: Rfam by way of RNAcentral